RNAcentral lists this long non-coding RNA (1160 nucleotides) under Capra hircus (goat). RNAcentral describes it as "lncRNA (ENSCHIG00010025982.1)". The record is from RNAcentral. Lineage: Eukaryota; Metazoa; Chordata; Mammalia; Artiodactyla; Bovidae.
CAAAGAGUCGGACACGACUGAGCAACUGAACUGAACUGAACUGAUCCUUAUUCUUGUCGUAUUUUCUUGUCACUUAUCAAUAAUACUCUUUACGUGUAUCCAUAUAUUUUUAUUAUUAUUUAUUAUCCACCUCCUCCCACUAGAAUGUAAGGACUAUAUGAGCUGCGAUUUUUACCUGUUUCCUUUGCUCCUGAAUGCCAGUGCCUAGAACUGGACCUGAUAGCAGAUGUUCAGUAAACAUUUGCUAAAUGAGUGGAUAAAUAAAAAUGCACAAGAUCCUUCAGCAUUUGGACCAUGGCUUCAUCAGCUAUCACUCUCCCAGCCCUUAGUGCUUAGAUGCCAACAAAACAAAUGGCCGUUCGUUCUCUGGAAAUGCCAUGCUGCUCUUGUGUGCCACAGACUCUGCUUCGAGGCCUCAUUCAUCUGGAAUUGCCAUUUCAACAACCUCUCAGCCUCUUGCAAGAAGCAGCUCCAGCCCCAUCUCCCUUGUGAAGUCUGCCUCACCUCCCCAGGGGUCACUCAGGCACGCCUGCCUCCACAUUCCAGCUCCACCUGCAGAAGUGCCUUCCAUGCUGGCUAUUUUUCAGUGCCACUGGGAAAAGCCAAGCAGAUAUGAACAGAUGCUUGAAAGACCAAAUUCUAAUCUAAAAAAGAUAGAAACCUGAGUAGUGGCAUACAUGAAGAUCUGGGCUGUCCUCUCAUCUGUGCAAAGCAAGAUUUUGAAGUUGAGAGAACAGAAUUUCAACUUGCUAAUAGCAAGCUGGUAUUUAGCACAUAUUUCCUUUAAUACUGUUAGAUAACAGUUAAUAAUAUUUAAAAAGAAAUACAACUUGUGAAACAUAGAGCAUAUGGCUCUUUCAGAAUCAAAAAGAAUAUCUGCAAAGUCACACAUUGCCAACUUUAUUUAGUUGAAACCUCUUGUAACAGCUGAUAACUAAAGGGAAAAAGAACAAAAUUCUCCUCUGGUUUUCCAAAUUCCACCAAAUUUCACAUGAAGAGUCCCAAACACUUUGGCACCUGAACUGUAUUAGUUUCACGUUCUAUAAAAAUAUCUUUAUUAAGAAAUAAUUUUAAAUUGUAAUUUCAUUUGUUUUCAGAGGUCAAUAUAAGAAACCUUCACAGGAAAUACAUUUCUUUAUUAGUCUUAAACGGACUAUUGA